RNAcentral lists this long non-coding RNA (667 nucleotides) under Elaeis guineensis (African oil palm). RNAcentral's name for it is "long non-coding RNA (EGUI_LNC023156)". Lineage: Eukaryota; Viridiplantae; Streptophyta; Magnoliopsida; Arecales; Arecaceae. The record is from RNAcentral.
GUGGGCCCACUAGUGGGACUCUCUAUAGCAUGGGUUCAUCUUAGUAGGAAUUCUGAAUUAUCUUAGUGGUUGGAUAACAUGUUGUCCCCUUACUUUGGCUCUUGUUGGAUUCUACUAGAUUUGGUUAUCUUUGGUAAUAACAGUUCAGGUUGUCAAGCUAUCUCUUGGCUGACGUAUUCUUGAUCUACUUGAUUCAUGCAUGAAACCACACCUUAGUCAUACCCUCAGUUGGGUUAUUCCGCUCACUUUACCUAUUUUAAUUCUUGAGGAUUUCUUAUUUAUAGAAUUUCUAAGAUAUUGACUAUAAAAUUAGUUAAAUUUCGAUGAUCUUGAAUAUGUGUAUUUGAUCUGCUGGAUUGAAUAAAUAUUUUACUUGGAUUUGUCGCUGAUAGAGGUAAAUCACCUGGUGCUUCAAAGUAUAUGUUUAAUGAUAUUAGAAAAUUAUGAUUAGCAUAUUAAAUUUAUUUUAUAAUCUUUACUUUAUGUCUAAUAAAAUGGGUCAAGCAUGUUACUAUUUUAGUUGUUUUAUAUGGUAUGUAUUUUGAUAUUUUUAUCAAAUAUUAUUUUUUAACAUAUGUUUUGUUUUGAGAAAUGAAAAAGCUGAUUGGGUAAUUUGUGAAAUUAUUUUUAUAUUUAUAUAGUCUCGGUAUGGCUACAACCUGGCCUC